AGCACCACCUACUCAGGUCCACCCUAAUAACAUCAGCCAAGGCCUCUACAGCAGCCCCCAAGCUGCCUCUGGAUAGUUCAGACAAGGCCUCUGUGCUGUGAUGGAACCAGGUGACCCGCAGCCUCCGGGCCAGGUACCAAUCCCAGGACUAUCGGGCAGACUCAGGAAGCAGCACAUGGGGAACAUUCUCAGACUUUCAAAAAAAAAGAACUGUAAAUGUCCACAGAGAGAGGACUGAUUAAACCAAGUACAUCUAUGCAAUGGAAUAUCCUGAAGCUGUUAGAACAUGAAGGGCC
This is a long non-coding RNA of Gorilla gorilla gorilla (western lowland gorilla), 296 nucleotides long. RefSeq lists it as uncharacterized. The record is from RefSeq and is a predicted model, not a curated record. The transcript is spliced from 3 exons. NCBI's taxonomy places the organism in Eukaryota, Metazoa, Chordata, Mammalia, Primates, Hominidae.